GGUUAAGCGACUAAGCGUACACGGUGGAUGCCCUGGCAGUCAGAGGCGAUGAAGGACGUGCUAAUCUGCGAAAAGCGCCGGCGAGGUGAUAUGAACCUUUGACCCGGCGAUGUCCGAAUGGGGAAACCCAGUGUGUUCCGACACACUAUCGUUAACUGAAUACAUAGGUUAACGAGGCGAACCGGGGGAACUGAAACAUCUAAGUACCCCGAGGAAAAGAAAUCAACCGAGAUUCCCCCAGUAGCGGCGAGCGAACGGGGAGCAGCCCAGAGUCUGAAUCAGCUUGUGUGUUAGUGGAAGCGUCUGGAAAGUCGCACGGUACAGGGUGACAGUCCCGUACACGAAAGCACACAGGUUGUGAACUCGAAGAGUAGGGCGGGACACGUGGUAUCCUGUCUGAAUAUGGGGGGACCAUCCUCCAAGGCUAAAUACUCCUGACUGACCGAUAGUGAACCAGUACCGUGAGGGAAAGGCGAAAAGAACCCCGGCGAGGGGAGUGAAAAAGAACCUGAAACCGUGUACGUACAAGCAGUGGGAGCCUCUUUUAUGGGGUGACUGCGUACCUUUUGUAUAAUGGGUCAGCGACUUAUAUUCUGUAGCAAGGUUAACCGUAUAGGGGAGCCGAAGGGAAACCGAGUCUUAACUGGGCGUUAAGUUGCAGGGUAUAGACCCGAAACCCGGUGAUCUAGCCAUGGGCAGGUUGAAGGUUGGGUAACACUAACUGGAGGACCGAACCGACUAAUGUUGAAAAAUUAGCGGAUGACUUGUGGCUGGGGGUGAAAGGCCAAUCAAACCGGGAGAUAGCUGGUUCUCCCCGAAAGCUAUUUAGGUAGCGCCUCGUGAACUCAUCUUCGGGGGUAGAGCACUGUUUCGGCUAGGGGGCCAUCCCGGCUUACCAACCCGAUGCAAACUACGAAUACCGAAGAAUGUUAUCACGGGAGACACACGGCGGGUGCUAACGUCCGUCGUGAAGAGGGAAACAACCCAGACCGCCAGCUAAGGUCCCAAAGUCAUGGUUAAGUGGGAAACGAUGUGGGAAGGCACAGACAGCCAGGAUGUUGGCUUAGAAGCAGCCAUCAUUUAAAGAAAGCGUAAUAGCUCACUGGUCGAGUCGGCCUGCGCGGAAGAUGUAACGGGGCUAAACCAUGCACCGAAGCUGCGGCAGCGACGCUUAUGCGUUGUUGGGUAGGGGAGCGUUCUGUAAGCCGUUGAAGGUGUCCUGUGAGGGGUGCUGGAGGUAUCAGAAGUGCGAAUGCUGACAUAAGUAACGAUAAAGCGGGUGAAAAGCCCGCUCGCCGGAAGACCAAGGGUUCCUGUCCAACGUUAAUCGGGGCAGGGUGAGUCGACCCCUAAGGCGAGGCCGAAAGGCGUAGUCGAUGGGAAACAGGUUAAUAUUCCUGUACUUGGUGUUACUGCGAAGGGGGGACGGAGAAGGCUAUGUUAGCCGGGCGACGGUUGUCCCGGUUUAAGCAUGUAGGCGGAGGUUCCAGGUAAAUCCGGUUCCUUGUUAACGCUGAGGUGUGAUGACGAGGCACUACGGUGCUGAAGUAACAAAUGCCCUGCUUCCAGGAAAAGCCUCUAAGCAUCAGGUAACAUCAAAUCGUACCCCAAACCGACACAGGUGGUCAGGUAGAGAAUACCAAGGCGCUUGAGAGAACUCGGGUGAAGGAACUAGGCAAAAUGGUGCCGUAACUUCGGGAGAAGGCACGCUGAUAUGUAGGUGAAGCCCCUGCGGGUGGAGCUGAAAUCAGUCGAAGAUACCAGCUGGCUGCAACUGUUUAUUAAAAACACAGCACUGUGCAAACACGAAAGUGGACGUAUACGGUGUGACGCCUGCCCGGUGCCGGAAGGUUAAUUGAUGGGGUUAGCGGUAACGCGAAGCUCUUGAUCGAAGCCCCGGUAAACGGCGGCCGUAACUAUAACGGUCCUAAGGUAGCGAAAUUCCUUGUCGGGUAAGUUCCGACCUGCACGAAUGGCGUAAUGAUGGCCAGGCUGUCUCCACCCGAGACUCAGUGAAAUUGAACUCGCUGUGAAGAUGCAGUGUACCCGCGGCAAGACGGAAAGACCCCGUGAACCUUUACUAUAGCUUGACACUGAACACUGGUCCUUGAUGUGUAGGAUAGGUGGGAGGCUUUGAAGCGUGGACGCCAGUCUGCGUGGAGCCAACCUUGAAAUACCACCCUUUAAUGGCUGGUGUUCUAACGUAGACCCGUAAUCCGGGUUGCGGACAGUGUCUGGUGGGUAGUUUGACUGGGGCGGUCUCCUCCCAAAGAGUAACGGAGGAGCACGAAGGUUAGCUAAUCCUGGUCGGACAUCAGGAGGUUAGUGCAAUGGCAUAAGCUAGCUUGACUGCGAGAGUGACGGCUCGAGCAGGUGCGAAAGCAGGUCAUAGUGAUCCGGUGGUUCUGAAUGGAAGGGCCAUCGCUCAACGGAUAAAAGGUACUCCGGGGAUAACAGGCUGAUACCGCCCAAGAGUUCAUAUCGACGGCGGUGUUUGGCACCUCGAUGUCGGCUCAUCACAUCCUGGGGCUGAAGUAGGUCCCAAGGGUAUGGCUGUUCGCCAUUUAAAGUGGUACGCGAGCUGGGUUUAGAACGUCGUGAGACAGUUCGGUCCCUAUCUGCCGUGGGCGCUGGAGAAUUGAGGGGGGCUGCUCCUAGUACGAGAGGACCGGAGUGGACGCAUCACUGGUGUUCGGGUUGUCAUGCCAAUGGCACUGCCCGGUAGCUAAAUGCGGAAGAGAUAAGUGCUGAAAGCAUCUAAGCACGAAACUUGCCCCGAGAUGAGUUCUCCCUGAGACUUUAAGUCUCCUGAAGGAACGUUGAAGACUACGACGUUGAUAGGUCGGGUGUGUAAGCGCAGCGAUGCGUUGAGCUAACCGAUACUAAUGAACCGUGAGGCUUAACCUU
Molecule: ribosomal RNA, 2907 nt
Filed under: Enterobacter ludwigii
Lineage: Bacteria; Pseudomonadati; Pseudomonadota; Gammaproteobacteria; Enterobacterales; Enterobacteriaceae
Description: 23S ribosomal RNA
Rfam family: Bacterial large subunit ribosomal RNA
Source: RNAcentral